AAACUUUCAACCUCGGAUCUCUUGGCUCUGGC
RNAcentral lists this ribosomal RNA (32 nucleotides) under Eutypa spinosa. Its description in RNAcentral is "partial 5.8S ribosomal RNA". Lineage: Eukaryota; Fungi; Ascomycota; Sordariomycetes; Xylariales; Diatrypaceae. The record is from RNAcentral.